Molecule: long non-coding RNA, 928 nt
Filed under: Gallus gallus (chicken)
Lineage: Eukaryota; Metazoa; Chordata; Aves; Galliformes; Phasianidae
Description: lncRNA (ENSGALG00010023540.1)
Source: RNAcentral
GUGAGUCACAGCAGGCACAGCUCCUCACCCAGCCCAAAUCUCACCCAGUGAGGAGAGCUCGCUGGGCCCUGCACCCAUCCAGCAAUGGUGGGGCAUGCUGGGACAUAGCACAGCAUAUAGAAGGGCAUAUAUGAGAUAUAAGGUGUAUGGGAGCUGCUGAGUCACAGCCUGAACCACUGAUUGAGCACCUGGGGAAAGAACCCGGUUAGCCCUGGGAGCACAGAGACCUUGCGGUCACCGGGACACCGAUGACGCUUCUCUGUGUGAUGGAUGUGUUCACAGAAUUAGGCCCCAUGACACGGAAGUGGAUGCUGCUCCAAUUUUCUUUCAAGAAACACUACCGGAAUCAUCCUUAAGAUGAAAUUUCAUUUUAAAACUGCAUUCUUUCUCUAGCAAUGGGAACAUUAAGCCAUUCCAAUUGGUUUGUCAGCCAUACUGAAGCAGCUGGAAGAGGUUAGAAUAGUGAAACUGGAGUCCACCUACCUGCUGGAAAAGUACAGCUGAAAGAGGCAAUUUCUAGACAACAAAGGGUAAGGAGGUGAGGUGAAGAUACUGUUGUUCUAGUGGCCAGAAGGGUGCUAUCAUCAAGUUAGUAAGAAUAAUGUUUUCCUUAGCUCUCAUGGGACUUCUUUGUCCAUGUGGAUCCAUUUCAAACACUUUUUCCCCUUUAAGCACUCCUUGAUAAUAAAAAAAACUGAUAUAAGCGCUCUUUCAUGGGAAGAAUCUCACUUUGGUCUGUGUAUUUUGUCUUCAGAAAACCAUAGGGCUCAGAGUGGGUACAGAAAGAGCUUAGUACUCAAAAAAUGCAGCCCGCAGCUGAGAGAAACUGCAAGAGCAGGGGUUAAUGGUACUGAGGGCUUCAUGGUUCAGCUGUUUGCAGAUCAGUAAUUAGAAUCCUCUGCUUACCGCAUUGAUCUCUCCCUGAGCA